Molecule: non-coding RNA, 463 nt
Organism: Pelobates cultripes (western spadefoot toad)
Lineage: Eukaryota; Metazoa; Chordata; Amphibia; Anura; Pelobatidae
Source: the annotation of a GenBank genome assembly
GUUAAAAAUCCUCAUGAAAUUGUAACUCCCAUAGAAAAAGACACAGUAUGUGUACAGGUUAUGUCAAAUAAUGAGUUACUAAGAGCUACAUUUUCAGAAUGUACAAAUUCAGAAACAUUACAGAAAGGGUUAUAUUGUAUCAAUGGAGGUCCACUAAUAAUACAUAUUCAAGGAACUCAAGUUAACAUAUCAAAGAGUCCUAUACAAGAUAUAGAUAGCAUGCCUAUUCAAUUAAAUGUUUCACAAACAAAUGAGUUUCCAUGGAGAAAGUGGGCAGAUGAGAUUAGGAAAGACAAGAUAUUAUUAUAUUCGUUACAAAAACAGUUGAAAGAAACAGAAAUUCAAUUUGAACAUGAACAGGGUAAAUUAAAGGUGAUAGAACAUGAAUGGUCAAUUGUUUCUAGUUCCUCUUGGUGGAAUGACAUAAUUAAAAGCACAAACACACUUGCUAAAUCAUCUGUGG